RNAcentral lists this ribosomal RNA (1373 nucleotides) under uncultured bacterium. Its description in RNAcentral is "bacterial SSU rRNA". It matches the Rfam family "Bacterial small subunit ribosomal RNA", at positions 28 to 1381 of the family's 1533-position model. The record is from RNAcentral.
GAUGAACGCUGGCGGCGUGCCUAAUACAUGCAAGUCGAGCGAACGGACGAGAAGCUUGCUUCUCUGAUGUUAGCGGCGGACGGGUGAGUAACACGUGGAUAACCUACCUAUAAGACUGGGAUAACUUCGGGAAACCGGAGCUAAUACCGGAUAAUAUUUUGAACCGCAUGGUUCAAAAGUGAAAGACGGUCUUGCUGUCACUUAUAGAUGGAUCCGCGCUGCAUUAGCUAGUUGGUAAGGUAACGGCUUACCAAGGCAACGAUGCAUAGCCGACCUGAGAGGGUGAUCGGCCACACUGGAACUGAGACACGGUCCAGACUCCUACGGGAGGCAGCAGUAGGGAAUCUUCCGCAAUGGGCGAAAGCCUGACGGAGCAACGCCGCGUGAGUGAUGAAGGUCUUCGGAUCGUAAAACUCUGUUAUUAGGGAAGAACAUAUGUGUAAGUAACUGUGCACAUCUUGACGGUACCUAAUCAGAAAGCCACGGCUAACUACGUGCCAGCAGCCGCGGUAAUACGUAGGUGGCAAGCGUUAUCCGGAAUUAUUGGGCGUAAAGCGCGCGUAGGCGGUUUUUUAAGUCUGAUGUGAAAGCCCACGGCUCAACCGUGGAGGGUCAUUGGAAACUGGAAAACUUGAGUGCAGAAGAGGAAAGUGGAAUUCCAUGUGUAGCGGUGAAAUGCGCAGAGAUAUGGAGGAACACCAGUGGCGAAGGCGACUUUCUGGUCUGUAACUGACGCUGAUGUGCGAAAGCGUGGGGAUCAAACAGGAUUAGAUACCCUGGUAGUCCACGCCGUAAACGAUGAGUGCUAAGUGUUAGGGGGUUUCCGCCCCUUAGUGCUGCAGCUAACGCAUUAAGCACUCCGCCUGGGGAGUACGACCGCAAGGUUGAAACUCAAAGGAAUUGACGGGGACCCGCACAAGCGGUGGAGCAUGUGGUUUAAUUCGAAGCAACGCGAAGAACCUUACCAAAAUCUUGACAUCCUUUGACAACUCUAGAGAUAGAGCUUUCCCCUUCGGGGGACAAAGUGACAGGUGGUGCAUGGUUGUCGUCAGCUCGUGUCGUGAGAUGUUGGGUUAAGUCCCGCAACGAGCGCAACCCUUAAGCUUAGUUGCCAUCAUUAAGUUGGGCACUCUAAGUUGACUGCCGGUGACAAACCGGAGGAAGGUGGGGAUGACGUCAAAUCAUCAUGCCCCUUAUGAUUUGGGCUACACACGUGCUACAAUGGACAAUACAAAGGGCAGCGAAACCGCGAGGUCAAGCAAAUCCCAUAAAGUUGUUCUCAGUUCGGAUUGUAGUCUGCAACUCGACUACAUGAAGCUGGAAUCGCUAGUAAUCGUAGAUCAGCAUGCUACGGUGAAUACGUUCCCGGGUCU